This 254-nucleotide unclassified non-coding RNA is filed under the name Hypoxylon pseudefendleri. RNAcentral's name for it is "partial contains 5.8S ribosomal RNA, internal transcribed spacer 2, and large subunit ribosomal RNA". Lineage: Eukaryota; Fungi; Ascomycota; Sordariomycetes; Xylariales; Hypoxylaceae. The record is from RNAcentral.
CGCAUAUUGCGCCCAUUAGUAUUCUAGUGGGCAUGCCUAUUCGAGCGUCAUUUCAACCCUUAAGCCCUGUAGCUUAGCGUUGGGAGUCUACCCCUUCACGGGGGCAGUUCCCUAAAACCAGUGGCGGUGUUAGGUACACUCAUAGCGUAGUAAUUCUUUUCUCGCUUCUGCAGUGGUCCUAGCUACCUGCCGUAAAACCCCCCUAUAUUCUAAUGGUUGACCUCGGAUUAGGUAGGAAUACCCGCUGAACUUAA